Molecule: ribosomal RNA, 253 nt
Filed under: uncultured bacterium
Lineage: Bacteria
Description: partial 16S ribosomal RNA
Rfam family: Bacterial small subunit ribosomal RNA
Source: RNAcentral
UACGUAGGGGGCAAGCGUUGUCCGGAAUCAUUGGGCGUAAAGAGCGUGUAGGCGGUUCGGUAAGUCUGCCGUGAAAACCUGGGGCUCAACCCCAGGCGUGCGGUGGAUACUGCCGGGCUAGAGGGUGGUAGAGGCGAGUGGAAUUCCCGGUGUAGCGGUGAAAUGCGCAGAUAUCGGGAGGAACACCAGUAGCGAAGGCGGCUCGCUGGGCCAUACCUGACGCUGAGACGCGAAAGCGUGGGGAGCAAACAGG